CCACAGCACACACAUUUAACAACAAACAAAAUGACAGAAAAUAUCGAUUCUCCACAAAUAAGUAAUAAUUGAUGACGAACCAUUGAAUUAUUAUAAAAAUAAUGUGCACCGGAGGUGGUAAUACGACCACGAGGCGAAGAGGAGGAUUGAGCCAUUGACAUGCAGUUAUUAUGGGUAGCAAAAUGCCUCCAGCACCAGAAGAUUUGCCAUUACAUUCAAGAAACCACCUUCCUCCUACAAUUUCAUCUGGAACCUCAGCAAAUCCAAAAGAUGUUCAUGCUUUAAUACACAGGGUAAAGGGUGUAGAAGAUCUUUUGGCUGUGUUCAUGGAUAGCAG
Long non-coding RNA from Ictalurus punctatus (channel catfish), 337 nucleotides. The record is from Ensembl. Lineage: Eukaryota; Metazoa; Chordata; Actinopteri; Siluriformes; Ictaluridae.